UUGUUUUAUUCACCAGUGCUACAGCUCUGGAGUUCUACAACAAAGUGCAGAAGUGGCUGCAGCCUGCAGCUGGCAUCUCUCCUCUGCUGGCACUGGAAGUGGGUGACUGAGCCCCAGGUUCUCUGCUUGCUCCUGCUCACAGGAAUGCUGGCGCCUUUUGUCAGAAGCCCUUCAGUGUUGCAGUCUGCUCCAGGAUAACAAACCCUACUGGAGAAAUACUCACCACUCCCAACUGCUUCUGCCUUCCCGUGGCUGAAACCCUUGUGGUGGGAGUGGCCCAAGGAGAGCAGCUGGCUGGGGAAGCACCAGCGAACCCCAGAGAAACUGGGACAUCUUCACCCACUCGAACCCCUGUCAAAGCACCUUCUGCAUCAAAGGCGCGGACCUGCCACCUGCCGUUUCACAGAAGACGAUUCCGGCCACUUCGCCCUCCAGUCCACCUCCACUUCAACACUUUGCAGCGUCACACAGCAUACUGGCACGCAGUGGUAGAAACAAAGCCUGAUGUGGCCAAUUCAUGGCCGUGACUGUGUAGGUUCAGAAGGGUUGUUUUCUUACUGUAUUUUCUUGCCAGACCUUGGUGCGCUAAGGCCACACAAUCUCAGCAGUCACUUGCAUUGUUUAACGAUAGCUCUCUUGUAUUAAAGUUGCAAUAAUGACUGAACCCACAUAAAAUUAAUCUUAACCCACCCUUCCUUGGAAAGGAACAUCAAGACUUAGAGACAGAAAAGUCACCAUUGGGCAAUUAAAGUCUUUGCAGAAAAGCACAUCCCUGCACAAAUCAGAUCUCAGCUGUCUUACUCCAGAACCUGCACCACCACAGGUGAAAUCAGAAAUGAUUCGUAGAACCAGACUUAGAAUAGUACUUUUCUCUCAUUU
Pogoniulus pusillus (Red-fronted tinkerbird) is the source of this 879-nucleotide long non-coding RNA. RefSeq lists it as uncharacterized. Lineage: Eukaryota; Metazoa; Chordata; Aves; Piciformes; Lybiidae. The transcript is spliced from 2 exons. The record is from RefSeq and is a predicted model, not a curated record.